Molecule: long non-coding RNA, 184 nt
Organism: Chinchilla lanigera (long-tailed chinchilla)
Lineage: Eukaryota; Metazoa; Chordata; Mammalia; Rodentia; Chinchillidae
Exons: 2
Source: RefSeq, a predicted model, not a curated record
CAGUUGAAGAUACUUAAGAGUCGGGAGCGACAAAGAAAAACCAAAAGACCUGGAAAUGGAGAACUGGAAGAAAAAUGCAAGACGUAAGACCUUCUGUAUCUAUAAGAAAAGAAACUUCUGUUGUUUAAGCCUACCAGCCUGGUAUUUUUUCUUAUGGCAGCCCAAAUAAAAACUGGUUUUCUUA